CCGCCCUCCGCAACCGACGCUGCUAGCGCCAGCUGUUUACUCGUCCUUGUGCAGGGGUGUGUGGUGCUUGAAGGCGGGGUAGUCGAAGAUGUGGUCGGGCUCGCGCUCGGCCAGGGGGCCCUUGUUGGUGAUGACCUUGACGUGCGAGCCGUCGUUGAUCAGGCGGCCCUCCUCGCGGAAGAUCUUGAAGUCCUUGCGGGACAGGUUGGUGAAGCCCCUGUACAGGUGGAAGAGGGCGAGGACAGGAAAACAGCAAUACGCGAUCAGGCGCAAGAGGUUCGCUCAUGGUUGCCACGAGGGGAAAAGGCGGGCAUUUGCUCAUGCUACGCGUCCAUACAGCUAGAACGCCCUGCUACUGCUAGUUCUCAUAUAAGGAUGAGACAAAAUCGCGCCGAGCUCCUGCUGCACCGCUCGCUACUGAGUAUGGUAGUUGCUGCCCGCUGAUCCACCGGCCCUCAGGAACCCGCCUGCCCGACGCCAGUCACUUGCCCAUUUCUUAGUGUCAGAUCUAGCCAGCAGCGCUGUCAACUCACCAG
RNAcentral lists this long non-coding RNA (536 nucleotides) under Chlamydomonas reinhardtii. RNAcentral's name for it is "long non-coding RNA (CREI_LNC000785)". Lineage: Eukaryota; Viridiplantae; Chlorophyta; Chlorophyceae; Chlamydomonadales; Chlamydomonadaceae. The record is from RNAcentral.